GUGGGGAAUAUUGGACAAUGGGCGAAAGCCUGAUCCAGCCAUGCCGCGUGAGUGAUGAAGGCCUUAGGGUUGUAAAGCUCUUUCGCCGAGGACGAUAAUGACGGUACUCGGAUAAGAAGCCCCGGCUAACUUCGUGUCAGCAGCCGCGGUAAUACGAAGGGGGCUAGCGUUGUUCGGAAUUACUGGGCGUAAAGCGUAUGUAGGCGGGUCGUUAAGUUAGGGGUGAAAUCCCAAGGCUCAACCUUGGAACUGCCCUUGAUACUGGCGAUCUUGAGUCCGGGAGAGGUGAGUGGAACUGCGAGUGUAGAGGUGAAAUUCGUAGAUAUUCGCAAGAACACCAGUGGCGAAGGCGGCUCACUGGCCCGGUACUGACGCUGAGAUACGAAAGCGUGGGGAGCAAACAGGAUUAGAUACCCCUGUAGUCC
RNAcentral lists this ribosomal RNA (425 nucleotides) under uncultured bacterium. RNAcentral's name for it is "partial 16S ribosomal RNA". It matches the Rfam family "Bacterial small subunit ribosomal RNA", at positions 354 to 796 of the family's 1533-position model. The record is from RNAcentral.